RNAcentral lists this ribosomal RNA (879 nucleotides) under uncultured bacterium. RNAcentral's name for it is "bacterial SSU rRNA". It matches the Rfam family "Bacterial small subunit ribosomal RNA", at positions 8 to 916 of the family's 1533-position model. The record is from RNAcentral.
AGAGUUUGAUCAUGGCUCAGUAUGAACGCUGGCGGCGUGCCUAACACAUGCAAGUCGAGCGAUUCUCUUCGGAGAAGAGCGGCGGACGGGUGAGUAACGCGUGGGUAACCUGCCCUGUACACACGGAUAACAUACCGAAAGGUAUGCUAAUACGAGAUAAUAUGCUUUUAUCGCAUGGUAGAAGUAUCAAAGCUCCGGCGGUACAGGAUGGACCCGCGUCUGAUUAGCUAGUUGGUAAGGUAACGGCUUACCAAGGCGACGAUCAGUAGCCGACCUGAGAGGGUGAUCGGCCACAUUGGAACUGAGACACGGUCCAAACUCCUAUGGGAGGCAGCAGUGGGGAAUAUUGCACAAUGGGCGAAAGCCUGAUGCAGCAACGCCGCGUGAGCGAUGAAGGCCUUCGGGUCGUAAAGCUCUGUCCUCAAGGAAGAUAAUGACGGUACUUGAGGAGGAAGCCCCGGCUAACUACGUGCCAGCAGCCGCGGUAAUACGUAGGGGGCUAGCGUUAUCCGGAAUUACUGGGCGUAAAGGGUGCGUAGGUGGUUUCUUAAGUCAGAGGUGAAAGGCUACGGCUCAACCGUAGUAAGCCUUUGAAACUGGGAAACUUGAGUGCAGGAGAGGAGAGUGGAAUUCCUAGUGUAGCGGUGAAAUGCGUAGAUAUUAGGAGGAACACCAGUUGCGAAGGCGGCUCUCUGGACUGUAACUGACACUGAGGCACGAAAGCGUGGGGAGCAAACAGGAUUAGAUACCCUGGUAGUCCACGCCGUAAACGAUGAGUACUAGCUGCCGGAGGUUACCCCCUUCGGUGGCGCAGCUAACGCAUUAAGUACUCCGCCUGGGAAGUACGCUCGCAAGAGUGAAACUCAAAGGAAUUGACGG